RNAcentral lists this ribosomal RNA (491 nucleotides) under uncultured bacterium. RNAcentral describes it as "partial 16S ribosomal RNA". It matches the Rfam family "Bacterial small subunit ribosomal RNA", at positions 29 to 507 of the family's 1533-position model. The record is from RNAcentral.
AGUGAACGCUGGCGGUAGGCCUAACACAUGCAAGUCGAACGGCAGCACAGUAAGAGCUUGCUCUUACGGGUGGCGAGUGCGGACGGGUGAGGAAUACAUCGGAAUCUACUUUUUCGUGGGGGAUAACGUAGGGAAACUUACGCUAAUACCGCAUACGACCUACGGGUGAAAGCAGGGGAUCUUCGGACCUUGCGCGAUUGAAUGAGCCGAUGUCGGAUUAGCUAGUUGGCGGGGUAAAGGCCCACCAAGGCGACGAUCCGUAGCUGGUCUGAGAGGAUGAUCAGCCACACUGGAACUGAGACACGAUCCAGACUCCUACGGGAGGCAGCAGUGGGGAAUAUUGGACAAUGGGCGCAAGCCUGAUCCAGCCAUACCGCGUGGGUGAAGAAGGCCUUCGGGUUGUAAAGCCCUUUUGUUGGGAAAGAAAAGCAGCAGGUUAAUACCCCGCUGUUCUGACGGUACCCAAAGAAUAAGCACCGGCUAACUUCGUG